Long non-coding RNA from Solea senegalensis (Senegalese sole), 866 nucleotides. RefSeq lists it as uncharacterized. NCBI's taxonomy places the organism in Eukaryota, Metazoa, Chordata, Actinopteri, Pleuronectiformes, Soleidae. The record is from RefSeq and is a predicted model, not a curated record. The transcript is spliced from 3 exons.
CUGGAUUCGGGGAGGCGUGAAAAUGGAGAAUUACUGAGAGCCUUAUAAUGCUUACUGAGUUUGAAGAAACACCAGUGGCUUGAACCAAACUGCCAGUGGAUGAUGUCUGUGGCUGCCUCUGACAGACUGAACCCUGAAAAGAGGCAACUUGUCUCUUCCCCUUGUGUUUUCCAGCCAGUCUGAUUGUUGGCCCCACCCUGAUUGUUUCCACCUGUUCCCCAUUACCGAGUCUCUAUUAUGGUUUGUCUCCUUUUGUCCGUGUCAGUUUGUCUUUUCUUGUGAACCAGAGAACCAGCGUAAGCCUUUGUCUUCAGGAAUUAUCAGUAUCUGCUCCAUGCCACUGUGUCGUCAGGUUUUUGUACUUUUGUUUUCUACUUUGUCAAGCCCUUUUUUUCUAGUUUUUCCCUCGAAAGACUUAGCAGUGGAUUUUUGUUGCACUUUGAAAAUAAAUAAAAAGUUAGUUGAUUUUUCACUGCAAUUAGGUCCAAGUCUUUGUCCCUGUGUGACAGAAUGGUUGUUUGUCUCUGUAUGUCUCUAUUGCCCUAUGUCAGCUGAGACACAGUGACCCCGCAACUUUAUCCUGUGGAGGAUAAAGGAGUAGAAAAUAGAUGGAUGGAUGAAUACUGAGGAGCUUGUGUUAAAGUCAGUGUGGGUUCCAAGUUUAAUGGUGUAGGGACUGGGCCAAACCCUAAGUAGAUUAAGGUCCUAUAUUAACAGAACUAACUUCCUGUAAAAAGGAAACUAUAUACUCAUGGUUCUGUCUCUCAUGCAUCUGUGGUCUUCUCCGUCCAUUACCUGCACAGCCUGCCUCUCGGACGGCAGGACACUGAGGGAGGCUGAGGGCGCCUGGGUGCACGUGGUGCUAC